Molecule: regulatory RNA element, 95 nt
Rfam family: Luteovirus cap-independent translation element (BTE)
About the family: This family mediates translation of genomic (gRNA) and subgenomic RNA1 (sgRNA1).
Source: Rfam
UCGCCACUGGUCCUCGACGUAUCCUGGGAAACAGGCAGCAGUAUUGCGUAAGCUCGGGUGUCUAGUCAACACCGCCGUAUAGCUUGGAUUUGGCC